Molecule: ribosomal RNA, 444 nt
Filed under: uncultured Leptolinea sp.
Lineage: Bacteria; Bacillati; Chloroflexota; Anaerolineae; Anaerolineales; Anaerolineaceae
Description: bacterial SSU rRNA
Rfam family: Bacterial small subunit ribosomal RNA
Source: RNAcentral
GCACAAGCAGCGGAGCGUGUGGUUAAUUCGAGGCUACACGAAGAACCUUACCAGGGUUUGACAUGCAAGUGGUAGGAAUCCGAAAGGUGACCGACCCUUCGGGAGCUUGCACAGGUGCUGCAUGGCUGUCGUCAGCUCGUGUCGUGAGAUGUUCGGUUAAGUCCGCUAACGAGCGCAACCCUCGUCGUGUGUUAUACGUGUCACACGAUACUGCCGGUAUCAAGCCGGAGGAAGGUGGGGAUGAUGUCAAGUCAGCAUGGCCUUUAUAUCCUGGGCUACACACACGCUACAAUGGCAGAUACAAUAGGUUGCGAAACCGCGAGGUGGAGCCAAUCCUCAAAGUCUGUCUCAGUUCAGAUUGUAGGCUGCAACUCGCCUGCAUGAAGUUGGAGUUGCUAGUAAACGCAGGUCAGCUAUACUGCGUUGAAUACGUUCCCGGGGUUU